This is a non-coding RNA of Homo sapiens (human), 297 nucleotides long. It matches the Rfam family "Metazoan signal recognition particle RNA". Rfam says of the family: The signal recognition particle (SRP) is a universally conserved ribonucleoprotein. It is involved in the co-translational targeting of proteins to membranes. The eukaryotic SRP consists of a 300-nucleotide 7S RNA and six proteins: SRPs 72, 68, 54, 19, 14, and 9. Lineage: Eukaryota; Metazoa; Chordata; Mammalia; Primates; Hominidae. The record is from Rfam.
GCCGGACAUGGUGGUACGUGCUUGCAGUUCCAGCUACUCAGGAGGCUGAGGCAGGGUGGAUCCCUUGGGUCCAGGGGUCCAGGAUUGUAGUGCGCUAUGCUCAUCAUGUGUCCUCACUAAGUUCAGCAUCAAUAUGUGACCUCCUGGAAGCAGGGGACUGCUGGAUUGCAUAAGGAAGCGUGAACUGGCCCAGGUCAGCAAUGAAGCAGGUCUGAACUCCCAUGCUGAUCAGUAGUGGGAUGGUGUCUGGGAAUAGCCACUGCACUCGAGACUGGGGCAACCUAGUGAUAUCCUGUA